Molecule: ribosomal RNA, 342 nt
Filed under: Psychomora mycophila
Lineage: Eukaryota; Metazoa; Arthropoda; Insecta; Diptera; Psychodidae
Description: partial 16S ribosomal RNA
Source: RNAcentral
UUUUUUAAUUGAAAGCUUGUAUGAAUGGUUUGACAAAGUAUUUACUGUCUUAAUAAAAAUUAUUAUAUAAAUUUAUUUUUUAAUUAAAAAGUUAAAAUAAUGUUGGAGGACGAGAAGACCCUAUAGAUCUUUAUAAUUAAUUAAAUUUUUAUUUUUUUAGAAUAAUUUAAUAAUUUUUUAAUUAAUUAUUUUAUUGGGGUGAUAAUAAAAUUUAUAAAACUUUUAUUUUAUAAAACAUUAAUUUAUGAAUAUUUGAUCCAUUAUUUAUGAUUAAAAAUUUAAGUUACCUUAGGGAUAACAGCGUUAUAUUUUUAGAGAGUUCAUAUCGAUAAAAAUGAUUGC